RNAcentral lists this ribosomal RNA (253 nucleotides) under uncultured bacterium. Its description in RNAcentral is "partial 16S ribosomal RNA". It matches the Rfam family "Bacterial small subunit ribosomal RNA", at positions 524 to 776 of the family's 1533-position model. The record is from RNAcentral.
UACAGAGGUCUCAAGCGUUGUUCGGAUUCAUUGGGCGUAAAGGGUGCGUAGGCGGUGCCGUAAGUUGGGUGUGAAAUUUCGGAGCUUAACUCCGAAACUGCAUUCGAUACUGCGGUGCUUGAGGACUGGAGAGGAGACUGGAAUUCAUGGUGUAGCAGUGAAAUGCGUAGAGGUCAUGAGGAAGACCAGUGGCGAAGGCGGGUCUCUGGACAGUUCCUGACACUGAGGCACGAAGGCCAGGGGAGCAAACGGG